GGUGGCUCAGUGGUAGAGUGCUUGUCUUGUGUACAUGAGGCCCUGGGUUCGAUUCCUCAGCACCA
Non-coding RNA from Dipodomys ordii (Ord's kangaroo rat), 65 nucleotides. NCBI's taxonomy places the organism in Eukaryota, Metazoa, Chordata, Mammalia, Rodentia, Heteromyidae. The record is from Rfam.